GAAUUAGGAGAGAGAGAAGAGAGUAGGAUAUAGGUUGUUGUUGCUCAGAAUGUUGGAGUCUCUUAGCGAUAUAUGUUUCCUUGGAGACAAGAUGUAUUUUCCCUCAGACCAGAUCCUUGUGUGUGGGAAGAAUAUGGUUUUCUUUUCUGGCAGCUCUCAUGGGAGAGAGAGAAAAGUCCAGAGGGAAAGGUUGUGUCUUGUUUUGAUCUUCCCUGCAGGGUUGCUCCUGAAAGCUGGUAAGCAGUGCUUUCUCACACUCUAAAUUUGGAAAUAGUUUCAUUUUGAAUUAAGAAAGGUACAGUAACUUUCUUUAUUUAGUUGAUGAGAUUCUUACAUUUUUCCCUUU
RNAcentral lists this long non-coding RNA (346 nucleotides) under Fukomys damarensis (Damara mole-rat). RNAcentral's name for it is "lncRNA (ENSFDAG00000025615.1)". Lineage: Eukaryota; Metazoa; Chordata; Mammalia; Rodentia; Bathyergidae. The record is from RNAcentral.